GGAUUCUGAGACACGAAUCCAGACCCUACGGGGUGCAGCAGGCGCGAAAACUUCACACUGCAGGAAACUGUGAUGAGGGAACUCCAAGUGCGCGCACUUAGUGUGCGCUUUUGUUGACUAUUAAUCGGUCAAUGAAUAAGGGCUGGGAAAGACCGGUGCCAGCCGCCGCGGUAAUACCGGCAGCUCAAGUGGUCGUCGCUUUUAUUGGGCCUAAAACGUCCGUAGCCUGUUUGGUAAAUCUGUGGGUAAAUCAACCAGCUUAACUGGUUGAAUUCUGCAGAGACUGCCAGACUAGGGACCGGGAGAGGUGUGGGGUACUCUAGGGGUAGGGGUAAAAUCCUGUCAUCCUUAGAGGACCACCAGUUGCGAAGGCGCCACACUGGAACGGAUUCGACGGUCAGGGACGAAGCCUAGGGGCACGAACCGGAUUAGAUACCCGGGUAGUCCUAGGUGUAAACGCUGUGAACUUGGUGUCGGGGAUCCGUCAUGGGUCCCCGGUGCCGGAGUGAAGAUGUUAAGUUCACUGCCUGGGGAGUACGGUCGCAAGGCUGAAACUUAAAGGAAUUGGCGGGGGAGCACUGCAACGGGAGGAGCGUGCGGUUUAAUUGGAUUCAACGCCGGAAAACUCACCAGGGCCGACUGUUAGAUGAAGACCAGUGUAACGAACUUGUCGGAUUUUCAGAGAGGUGGUGCAUGGCCGUCGUCAGUUCGUACUGUAAAGCGUUCUGUUAAGUCAGAUAACGAACGAGACCCUCAUCUCUAUUUGCUACCUGUCUCUCCGGAGACAGCGCACUAUAGAGAGACCGCUGGUGUUAAACCAGAGGAAGGCGAGGGCAACGACAGGUCAGUAUGCCCCGAAUGUCCUGGGCUACAC
This 874-nucleotide ribosomal RNA is filed under the name marine metagenome. RNAcentral's name for it is "bacterial SSU rRNA". It matches the Rfam family "Archaeal small subunit ribosomal RNA", at positions 298 to 1175 of the family's 1478-position model. The record is from RNAcentral.